ACAGCAGCAGCCGCGGUAAUACGAACCGUGCGAACGUUAUUCGGAAUCACUGGGCUUAAAGCGCGUGUAGGCGGGAGGGCACGUCCGUCGCUGAAAUCCCCCGGCUCAACCGGGGAACGGGCGCGGAUACGACUCUUCUGGAGGAACGUAGGGGGACCUGGAACUUCCGGUGGAGCGGUGAAAUGCGUUGAGAUCGGAAGGAACGCCCGUGGCGAAAGCGAGGUCCCGGACGUUUACUGACGCUGAGACGCGAAAGCCAGGGGAGCGAACGGGAUUAGAUACCCCUGUAGUCCCUGUCUCUUAUA
This 305-nucleotide ribosomal RNA is filed under the name uncultured bacterium. RNAcentral describes it as "partial 16S ribosomal RNA". It matches the Rfam family "Bacterial small subunit ribosomal RNA", at positions 505 to 807 of the family's 1533-position model. The record is from RNAcentral.